GAUGAAUGCUGGCGGCGUGCCUAACACAUGCAAGUCGAGCGGUAACAGGGAUAGUUUACUAUCUGCUGACGAGCGGCGGACGGCUGAGUAACGCGUGGGAACGUGCCCCAAAGUGAGGGAUAAGCACCAGAAAUGGUGUCUAAUACCGCAUAUGGUCUUCGGAUUAAAGUAUUUAUACGCUUUGGGAGCGGCCCGCGUCUGAUUAGAUUGUUGGUGAGGUAAAGGCUCACCAAGUCGACGAUCAGUAGCUGGUCUGAGAGGAUGAUCAGCCAGACUGGAACUGAGACACGGUCCAGACUCCUACGGGAGGCAGCAGUGAGGAAUCUUCCACAAUGGGGGCAACCCUGAUGGAGCAACGCCGCGUGCAGGAUGAAGGCCUUCGGGUUGUAAACUGCUUUUAUGAGUGAAGAAUAUGACGGUAACUCAUGAAUAAGCACCGGCUAACUACGUGCCAGCCGCCGCCGUAACAC
Molecule: ribosomal RNA, 470 nt
Filed under: uncultured bacterium
Lineage: Bacteria
Description: bacterial SSU rRNA
Rfam family: Bacterial small subunit ribosomal RNA
Source: RNAcentral